AUGAUAAUGGGAUAUUCCCCCUUGGAGUCUCAGGCUAUCGCCAACCGGCUGAACUGCCGCCUGGGCUCUUUCCCCACCUCCUACUUGGGGACCCCUAUCAGUGACUCGCGCCUCUCUGCCGCGGACUUGAGGCCUGCUAUUUCUAAGCUCCAAUCCCGGUGCGAGCCCUGGCAGGGGAGAUGGCUCUCUAAGGCGGCCCGCACUAUUCUUAUCAACUCUUCUCUCUCUAGCCUGCUGCUGUUCCUUAUGAGCUUCUAUAGCCUCCAUGAGUCCCUUCAUAAGGAGAUUGCCAAGAUCCAGUCUCGCUUCUACUGGGCUGGUGAGCAUGAUAAG
Molecule: ribosomal RNA, 333 nt
Filed under: Triticum aestivum (bread wheat)
Lineage: Eukaryota; Viridiplantae; Streptophyta; Magnoliopsida; Poales; Poaceae
Description: partial small subunit ribosomal RNA
Source: RNAcentral